GUGAAUGCCGUGUUAGGAGGUGCGGGUAUAUGGAGGGGGGAGGCGUUGUUCGGAGUUAUUGGGGUUAAAUGGUCCGUAGUCGGAAUUAUAAGUCAGUGGUGAAAGACUGUCGCUUAUGGAUAGUACUGCCAUUGAGACGGUAAGUCUUGAGUAUAAGUGAGGUAGCUGGAAUAAGUAGUGUAGCGGUGAAAUGCAUAGAUAUUACUUAGAACACCAAUUGCGAAGGCAGGUUACCAAGUUAUAACUGACGCUGAGGGACGAAAGCGUGGGGAGCGAACAGGAUUAGAUACCCGGGUAGUC
This 300-nucleotide ribosomal RNA is filed under the name uncultured Howardella sp. Its description in RNAcentral is "bacterial SSU rRNA". It matches the Rfam family "Bacterial small subunit ribosomal RNA", at positions 496 to 795 of the family's 1533-position model. The record is from RNAcentral. Lineage: Bacteria; Bacillati; Bacillota; Clostridia; Eubacteriales.